ACACAUCAACAGGUUAUGAGAACGUAAGGAACCAUGAAUCUAGUAGGCCAACUUCAAAUAAUGAUAAGAGUCAAAGUGGAUUGUUUGAUGACUACUCAUCAUAUGUCGCUGAGAAGAAUACAUCAGGAGGUAUCUUAUUAGAGCUUGACCAUUAUCUUGAAGAGAAAGUAUGUCCACCAGACAUGGAUCUUGAUAUACUAGCUUGGUGGAAAACAAACGGUUUGAAGUACCCGAUGCUCCAAAGAAUAGCCCGAGAUGUAUUAGCAAUCCCUAUAACAACUGUUGCCUCUGAGUCUUCCUUUAGUACAAGUGGUAGAUUGUAAGCCCUCAUCGUAGUCGUCUUCAUCCAAACACAUUGGAAGCGUUGAUGUGUGCUCAAAGUUGGUUGUUAAAUGAGAUAAGAGCAACUUGUUCAAAAGAAACCGAAGCAUAUUGUCAAACAAUUGAGCAUGACUAUGACGAUAGUGACGAGGUAAGUAUACAUUUUAUGUUCCAAAUUUAUUGUGUUUAUUAUGUUAUUUUAGUUAUGAUUUAUUUGAUGGUGUAUUCUUUUAUUUCUUUAACUAUAGGAAAACAAUUUGAAGGAAUGAGGGUGCAAAGAUGACUACACGUCUACAUGGUCUUCACGAAUGGGCGAAUGGCAUACACUUUCUUUUUUGUAAUCAUUUGGUGCAACUUUUUUGAAACAUCAACAUUGUCCCCUUGUACUAAAAAUCGUGAAACAUCGACUUUGCACUAUUUUUGUCAUCUAUGAAUUUGAAUUUUUUGUUUACAUUGAGGUAUUUUAUUUUAUAUACUUUGCCAUUAAUUGAUAUAUUUUCAUAAUGAUAAUGCUUUAGUAGUUACCCGACGGGUUUGGGUCGUCUAUACCCAACGGGUAACUUUUUAGAUUAAUGGGUUUACCCGAAACCCGUGGGUUUACCCGAUACCCGAUGGGUAUUUACCCGAUAGAAACCCGACGGGUUUUG
Long non-coding RNA from Helianthus annuus (common sunflower), 968 nucleotides. RefSeq lists it as uncharacterized. The record is from RefSeq and is a predicted model, not a curated record. NCBI's taxonomy places the organism in Eukaryota, Viridiplantae, Streptophyta, Magnoliopsida, Asterales, Asteraceae. The transcript has 3 exons.